Molecule: ribosomal RNA, 459 nt
Filed under: uncultured bacterium
Lineage: Bacteria
Description: partial 16S ribosomal RNA
Rfam family: Bacterial small subunit ribosomal RNA
Source: RNAcentral
CCUACGGGGGGCAGCAGUGAGGAAUAUUGGUCAAUGGGCGGGAGCCUGAACCAGCCAAGUCGCGUGAGGGAAGAAGGUACUGAGUAUUGUAAACCUCUUUUGCCAGGGGACAAAGGCGGCCACGGGUGGCCGUAAGAGGGUACCUGGAGAAAAAGCAUCGGCUAACUCCGUGCCAGCAGCCGCGGUAAUACGGAGGAUGCGAGCGUUAUCCGGAUUUAUUGGGUUUAAAGGGUGCGUAGGCGGGACCUUAAGUCAGCGGUAAAAUUGCGGUGCUCAACGCCGUAGAGCCGUUGAAACUGGGGUUCUUGAGUGAGCGAGAAGUAUGCGGAAUGCGUGGUGUAGCGGUGAAAUGCAUAGAUAUCACGCAGAACCCCGAUUGCGAAGGCAGCAUACCGGCGCUCAACUGACGCUGAGGCACGAAAGUGCGGGUAUCGAACAGGAUUAGAUACCCGAGUAGUC